UUGGACUUGGUGACCCUGACGGUCUUUUCCGAGCUAGAUGGCUGUGGGAUUUUAUAACACACAUCUCCCCUUGCACUGAGAGCGAUGGUUCAAGUGUGUCUUGCAGCCAAAAAAUUGCAAGGAGGCUUCAAAUUAGGUGGAUGCAAAGCCAGGUGGAGCAGAUAAAUAAAUGAGGUCCUUCAGGCGCAAGCCAUGCGGCCGAGGGCAGCCGCUUCUGUCUGCUUUCCACUAGAGGUAGCUGGAGCCACGCACAACCCACUGCCAGCCUGGGGAUUUCCACAUCCCAGCCCCAGAUCUGCAUCAAUAUAAGCCAUUAGCCAAAAGCAGGAGGUUGCUCGAUGCAGCCCCCUCUCACAGGCUCCAUCCUUGUGGUCCGGCCCUGCCCGAGCUUGGGUGGCAAAGCCUGUGUCUGGGGGUAUUUUACAGGCAGCAGGAAAAAAAGAAUAUUCCCCUCUGCUGCUGGAGUUCAUCACACGGCUUCUCAGCCCCANNNNNNNNNNNNNNNNNNNNCCCCACCCCUGGAGAUGCUCAAGAGAAGUGUGGACGUGGCACUGGGGGCCAUGGGUUAGUGGUGGGACUUGGCUGAUGGUUGGACUUGGUGACCCUGAGGGUCUUUUCCAAGCUAGAUGGCUGUGGGAUUUUAUAACGCACGUCUCCCCUUGCACCGAGAGUGAUGGUUCAAGUGUGUCUCGCAGCCAAAAAAUUGCAAGGAGGCUUCAAAUUAGGUGGAUGCAAAGCCAGGUGGAGUAGAUAAAUAAAUGAGGUCCUUCAGGCGCAAGCCAUGCAGCCGAGGGCAGCCGCUUCUGUCUGCUUUCCACUAGAGGUAGCUGGAGCCACGCACAACCCACUGCCAGCCUGGGGAUUUCCACAUCCCAGCCCCAGAUCUGCAUCAAUAUAAGCCAUUAGCCAAAAGCAGGAGGUUGCUCGAUGCAGCCCCCUCUCACAGGCUCCAUCCUUGUGGUCCGGCCCUGGCCGAGCUUGGGUGGCAAAGCCUGUGUCUGGGGGUAUUUUACAGGCAGCAGGAAAAAAAGAAUAUUCCCCUCUGCUGCUGGAGUUCAUCACACGGCUUCUCAGCCCCAGGGAAAGAUGUCUGCAAUGCUGGAGGAGAGAAAUUAUAUUGCUGAGUUUCUCACAAGGGGAAAACUGCUGAAGGAUGUCAAGGUUCCCCAUGGGGCAGUACCGCUUUCCCCCUGCUGACACCAUCCCGUGCCCCUGCAGGUGCCGUGGCACCCGAUGCCAGCCUGAUGGCCCCGUGGCAGCGGUCUGAGACACCGGAUCUCCUCCCAGCCAUAUCAGCGGCUUUCCCAGCCCUGAACUGGGAGCCACCCGCUGCCAGUGAGUGGCAAUUUGGUUAAAGGAGGCAGAAAAGCUUCCCUGGCCACCAGCUGGGACUGAUCCCCAAACCUCUCCACCAGCAGCGAGCUGUUUCCAGCAGCUGUGCUCAGUGCUGCUGCUGGUCCCUUACCUGCCUGUCUGCACAGGUUUAGGCAUUUGUGCCUGAAUUUGCGUGUUUUGGCUUGAGAGAGCUUGCCACACACACGCACGACCUCCUGGAGCUUUCUUGUUUGGCAUCCCGUGAAAAAAAUCCAUGCUAAGCCAGCCCAAUGCAAGCGCUGAUUUAUUUGUGCUGGAAGGGGACAUGUUUCGCUGUCCUAACACCAGAUGCCCAAAAUACGUUAAAUCAACCCCCAGAAUAGAAACCCCCUCUGAUUUUUUCCCCCCUCUCUUUGUCCCUUUGGCGGGAUAAGGUUGGAGGCUGCAGGGAGGGCUGCUGAGAGCUGCCUUUGGGGGAGCUGGGUGGCUCUGUGGGAUGUUCUGCCCAGUGCCCGUGUCCCCGUGCCCCGCAGCAUCAGGGCAGGGGCGCCUUUGUGCGGGAUACCAGCAGAUUUAGGGCAUAAUAAAUUGUAUUUAAAAGUUACA
Molecule: long non-coding RNA, 1920 nt
Organism: Anser cygnoides (Swan goose)
Lineage: Eukaryota; Metazoa; Chordata; Aves; Anseriformes; Anatidae
Source: Ensembl